UACGGAAGGGGCAAGCGUUGUUCGGAAUCAUUGGGCGUAAAGGGCGUAUAGGUGGUUCUGUAUGUCUACCGUGAAAGCGUACGGCUCAACCGUAUUUAGUCGGUAGAAACUGCAGGACUUGAGGCUGGGAGGGGCUGGUGGAAUUCCCCGUGUAGCGGUGAAAUGCGUAGAGAUGGGGGAGAACACUCGUGGCGAAGGCGGCCAGCUAGACCAGUUCUGACACUGAGGCGCGAUAGCGUGGGGAGCAAACAGG
Molecule: ribosomal RNA, 253 nt
Filed under: uncultured bacterium
Lineage: Bacteria
Description: partial 16S ribosomal RNA
Rfam family: Bacterial small subunit ribosomal RNA
Source: RNAcentral